This 69-nucleotide transfer RNA is filed under the name Balta vilis. Its description in RNAcentral is "tRNA-Val". Lineage: Eukaryota; Metazoa; Arthropoda; Insecta; Blattodea; Pseudophyllodromiidae. The record is from RNAcentral.
CAGGUUAUCUAUUAGAUAGGGUUUUCUUUUACAUGGAAAGUAUUUAGUGUGCAAUUCAUUAUAACUUGA